This 76-nucleotide transfer RNA is filed under the name Allomuricauda sp. RNAcentral describes it as "tRNA-Lys". It matches the Rfam family "tRNA". From Rfam's summary of the family: Transfer RNA (tRNA) molecules are approximately 80 nucleotides in length. Their secondary structure includes four short double-helical elements and three loops (D, anti-codon, and T loops). The record is from RNAcentral. Lineage: Bacteria; Pseudomonadati; Bacteroidota; Flavobacteriia; Flavobacteriales; Flavobacteriaceae. RNAcentral also lists the same sequence under 1 other name.
GACCUGAUAGCUCAGUUGGUAGAGCAUCUCCCUUUUAAGGAGAGGGUCCUGGGUUCGAGCCCCAGUCAGGUCACUA